GUGGGGAAUUUUGGACAAUGGGCGAAAGCCUGAUCCAGCAAUGCCGCGUGUGUGAAGAAGGCCUUCGGGUUGUAAAGCACUUUUGGCAGGGAAGAAACAGUGCGUGCUAAUACCAUGCGCGAAUGACGGUACCUGCAGAAUAAGCACCGGCUAACUACGUGCCAGCAGCCGCGGUAAUACGUAGGGUGCAAGCGUUAAUCGGAAUUACUGGGCGUAAAGCGUGCGCAGGCGGCUUUGUAAGACGGAUGUGAAAGCCCCGGGCUCAACCUGGGAAGUGCAUUCGUGACUGCAAGGCUAGAGUGUGUCCGAGGGAGGUGGAAUUCCGCGUGUAGCAGUGAAAUGCGUAGAGAUGCGGAGGAACACCGAUGGCGAAGGCAGCCUCCUGGGAUAACACUGACGCUCAGGCACGAAAGCGUGGGGAGCAAACAGGAUUAGAAACCCUUGUAGUCC
This 450-nucleotide ribosomal RNA is filed under the name uncultured bacterium. Its description in RNAcentral is "partial 16S ribosomal RNA". It matches the Rfam family "Bacterial small subunit ribosomal RNA", at positions 354 to 796 of the family's 1533-position model. The record is from RNAcentral.